AUGAACGCUGGCGGCGUGGAUAAGGCAUGCAAGUCGGACGAUUUCCUUUUUUGAAGAAGAUGCGAUUACAUCAAGUCAACUGAUAUUUUGGAGAUAGUGGCGAACGAGCUAGUAACACCUUGGUACGUACCCAAAAGUUUGGUAUAGCUCGCCGAAAGGCGGGGUAAUCCCAAAUAAUCCCUCUAUCUAUCGGAUAGAAGGGUAAAGUCGCAAGACGCUUUUGGAGCGGCCUAGGACCGAUCCAGUUAGUUGGUGAGGUAAUGGCUCACCAAGACGAUGACCGGUAGGGG
This 290-nucleotide ribosomal RNA is filed under the name uncultured bacterium. RNAcentral describes it as "partial 16S ribosomal RNA". It matches the Rfam family "Bacterial small subunit ribosomal RNA", at positions 29 to 289 of the family's 1533-position model. The record is from RNAcentral.